GGGGAAUCUGGCAAGCCGGACCA
This 23-nucleotide unclassified non-coding RNA is filed under the name Dictyostelium discoideum. The record is from RNAcentral. Lineage: Eukaryota; Evosea; Eumycetozoa; Dictyosteliales; Dictyosteliaceae.